RNAcentral lists this RNase P RNA (403 nucleotides) under Candidatus Lloydbacteria bacterium RIFCSPHIGHO2_01_FULL_54_11. RNAcentral's name for it is "RNase P RNA component class A". It matches the Rfam family "Bacterial RNase P class A". Rfam says of the family: Ribonuclease P (RNase P) is a ubiquitous endoribonuclease, found in archaea, bacteria and eukarya as well as chloroplasts and mitochondria. Its best characterised activity is the generation of mature 5'-ends of tRNAs by cleaving the 5'-leader elements of precursor-tRNAs. Lineage: Bacteria; Candidatus Lloydiibacteriota. RNAcentral also lists the same sequence under 3 other names. The record is from RNAcentral.
GCCCCGUAUUAGGCAGUAGCUCCUCGCUUAUAAAAAAGUGAGGAGAGGAAAGUCCGAACACUUACCCUGUUUCAAGGGUUAAAAAGGUAGCGGGUAACGCCCGUCGUGGGUAACCAUAGAGGUGCGAGCAGAGACGCCACAGAACGAAAGCGAUGUGGGCGAUCUUCGCAAGAGGAUCGUAGUCCCGCGCAAGCGGGGGUGAAACGGCUAAAUCCUUACCCGAGUGCAAGGCCGUACCCAAUGCUCCGCAUUGGACAUUGCAAUAUUUAAAUAUUUAAAUGUCCAACGCGGAGCGUUGGGGGUGCCGCUCGAGCCGUUCGGCAACGGACGGCCCAGAUAAAUUACUGCUGCUCCGUCCGAAGAGGACGGGGAACAGAAUUCGGCUUAUCGAUACAGGGUUCAU